Molecule: ribosomal RNA, 467 nt
Filed under: uncultured bacterium
Lineage: Bacteria
Description: bacterial SSU rRNA
Rfam family: Bacterial small subunit ribosomal RNA
Source: RNAcentral
GACGAACGCUGGCGGCGUGCUUAACACAUGCAAGUCGAGCGGUAAGGCCCUUUCGGGGGUACACGAGCGGCGAACGGGUGAGUAACACGUGGGUGACCUGCCUUUAGCUCUGGGAUAAGCCUGGGAAACCGGGUCUAAUACCGGAUAUGACUCCGCGGCGCAUGUUGUGGGGUGGAAAGCCUUGUGCGGCUGGAGAUGGGCCCGCGGCCUAUCAGCUUGUUGGUGGGGUGAUGGCCUACCAAGGCGACGACGGGUAGCCGGCCUGAGAGGGCGACCGGCCACACUGGGACUGAGACACGGCCCAGACUCCUACGGGAGGCAGCAGUGGGGAAUCUUGCGCAAUGGGCGAAAGCCUGACGCAGCGACGCCGCGUGAGGGAUGACGGUCUUCGGGUUGUAAACCUCUUUCAGCCUUGACGAAGCGAAAGUGACGGUAGGGGCAGAAGAAGCACCGGCCAACUACGUGCC